GACGAACGCUGGCGGCGUGCCUAACACAUGCAAGUCGAACGGGGAGUUAGCAAUAACUCCUAGUGGCGUACGGGUGAGUAACGCGUAGACAACCUGCCUCUAAACUGGGGACAACACCGCGAAAGUGGUGCGAAUACCGAAUGUGGUAACUUGAUCGCAUGAUCGAGUUAAGAAAGAUGGCCUCUAUUUAUAAGCUAUCGAUUAGAGAUGGGUCUGCGUGUGAUUAGCUAGUUGGUGAGGUAAUGGCUCACCAAGGCGACGAUCAGUAGCCGGGAUGAGAGGAUGAACAGCCACACUGGGAAUGAGACACGGCCCAGACACCUACGGGGGGCAUCCGUUGGGAAUCGUCCGCAAUGGACGAGAGGCUGACGGAACAACGCCGGGUGAGUGGAGAAGGGCGUCGGAGUGGAAAGCUCUGUCGUGUGGGACGAACGCUGGUAGUGUGAAUAAUGCUAGCUAAUGACGGUACCAAAGGAGGAAGCCACGGCUAACUACGUGCCAGCCGCCGCGGUAA
This 514-nucleotide ribosomal RNA is filed under the name uncultured bacterium. Its description in RNAcentral is "partial 16S ribosomal RNA". It matches the Rfam family "Bacterial small subunit ribosomal RNA", at positions 28 to 523 of the family's 1533-position model. The record is from RNAcentral.